This is an RNA transcript of Musa acuminata AAA Group (dessert banana), 1271 nucleotides long. RefSeq lists it as uncharacterized. NCBI's taxonomy places the organism in Eukaryota, Viridiplantae, Streptophyta, Magnoliopsida, Zingiberales, Musaceae. The record is from RefSeq and is a predicted model, not a curated record. The transcript has 3 exons.
GACUGCAACAUGUAUCAUCAUCAUGAAUGAGAAAACAUUCAGGGAAUAGGAUAUCUUUUUGGGUUUUUGCCGAUCAUGUGCACCUCUUUGAGUCUUUUUAGGUGAUCCAUUCCUUUCGUCUCCUGAAUCAUGGUACCUCUACCGAUGCAUGUCUGUAAGAUCUCUCACCUCAGAUCAUUACCAUCUCUCUCUCUCUCUCUUUCCUUCUUGUAGUGUCACUUUAGCUGUUACUAUAUGCUUUUUUGGUUGAGUUGAGUUGAUACUGUAUGUGAUCAAUCAUUCUUUUGCCAAACCCAAAGCAUUAUACACUAAACACUGAUAGUUUUGUCCCAUGCCUGCAGCCUUCCAUCAGUGUUGAAAUUUAUAUCUUGAGCUGCAGCUUUUCUUUUCCAUAGUGGUGGUGGAAGUCUGUAGGAUACUACUGCCUCUGAUCUUUGUUUAUCCCUUUACCCCACCAUGACAUUGCCUAAGUAAUCUUUUGGAGUGAAGAAUGGCUUUUAAAGUGACCAAUCAAUCCCCCCACACCCCCCAGUCAUGCCUGUGAUCAUCCAUUGUCAUUGCUCAGGAACAAAGUACUGUUUGUCAUGAGAGGCAAGGAGGUUGUUGACUGGAGAGCAUCAAAGGAGAUCGGAGAUAGCCAAAUGCUUUCUUUUCUGUAGUCCAUGGUAGCCAGUUUGAGAAGUGUUGAUUGCAAUCGAGUUCUGAGUUCAAGCAUCUGACAGGGAGAAGUUGCCAUGAAUAGUUUUGGAGAGAGGCCACAGACAUGGAGUGGAGACUCUGUCUCUACUCCAUCAGAACUAGCUUACGGCAGGGAUGGCUCUUGGAAGGACCUAGGAACAUCGAUGAGCGCGAUCUCAUUCGGUUUAGCUGCAACCGCAAUCCUGAUCUCCAUGUUCCUCGUCAUGGCGAUAUUUGAGCAUCUGAUCAAGCCAAGGGCAUCUCUUCUAAGUUCUCGGCACAGUGCAACAGAAUCCUCAGAGAUGAGCCAACCACAUGCUCAGGUUCACUUGCAGAAGUUUCAGCAUCCGGUAGCAGUUGGAACUCAGUACACAGCUGAUUUCUCUGUGUUAAUGCCGGGCCAGCAGUAUCCUACCUUCAUUGCUCAACCUGCUCCUCUUCCUUGCCCAAGAGAAGGGAUUCAAUGGCCACCCCAUGAUCCUCACAUAUCCUUCAUGUAAAUACAGGUUUUGUCUGUAAUGGAAUCUGCUCUCUUGGAUGCAAUUAAACUUUUCUUUCAGGCCAAACAAUAAAAGGAAGGCUUGUUUAUAUCA